UCGGCUCUCGCAUCGAUGAAGAACGUAGCGAAAUGCGAUACUUGGUGUGAAUUGCAGAAUCCCGUGAACCAUCGAGUCUUUGAACGCAAGUUGCGCCCGAAGCCAUUAGGCCGAGGGCACGCCUGCCUGGGCGUCACAC
Molecule: ribosomal RNA, 139 nt
Filed under: Prunus domestica (plum)
Lineage: Eukaryota; Viridiplantae; Streptophyta; Magnoliopsida; Rosales; Rosaceae
Also listed under: 8 other names
Description: partial 5.8S ribosomal RNA
Rfam family: 5.8S ribosomal RNA
About the family: 5.8S ribosomal RNA (5.8S rRNA) is a component of the large subunit of the eukaryotic ribosome. It is transcribed by RNA polymerase I as part of the 45S precursor that also contains 18S and 28S rRNA. Functionally, it is thought that 5.8S rRNA may be involved in ribosome translocation.
Source: RNAcentral